CGAAGGUGCUCCUUGGUUCGGUUGGAUUCAGGCCCUCAGCAAGCCCGAUCCUCCCAGCUCAGGAGCACUUUCCUCUUUCCGGCACCCCAACAGACGAUCACCCCGGUGAAA
Small RNA from Frankia sp., 111 nucleotides. It matches the Rfam family "Actinobacteria sRNA Ms_IGR-7". The record is from Rfam. NCBI's taxonomy places the organism in Bacteria, Bacillati, Actinomycetota, Actinomycetes, Frankiales, Frankiaceae.